This 497-nucleotide ribosomal RNA is filed under the name uncultured bacterium. RNAcentral describes it as "partial 16S ribosomal RNA". It matches the Rfam family "Bacterial small subunit ribosomal RNA", at positions 28 to 507 of the family's 1533-position model. The record is from RNAcentral.
GACGAACGCUGGCGGCGUGCCUAAUACAUGCAAGUUGAGCGCUGAAGGUUGGUACUUGUACCAACUGGAUGAGCAGCGAACGGGUGAGUAACGCGUGGGGAAUCUGCCUUUGAGCGGGGGACAACAUUUGGAAACGGAUGCUAAUACCGCAUAAAAACUUUAAACACAAGUUUUAAGUUUGAAAGAUGCAAUUGCAUCACUCAAAGAUGAUCCCGCGUUGUAUUAGCUAGUUGGUGAGGUAAAGGCUCACCAAGGCGAUGAUACAUAGCCGACCUGAGAGGGUGAUCGGCCACAUUGGGACUGAGACACGGCCCAAACUCCUACGGGAGGCAGCAGUAGGGAAUCUUCGGCAAUGGACGAAAGUCUGACCGAGCAACGCCGCGUGAGUGAAGAAGGUUUUCGGAUCGUAAAACUCUGUUGGUAGAGAAGAACGUUGGUGAGAGUGGAAAGCUCAUCAAGUGACGGUAACUACCCAGAAAGGGACGGCUAACUACGUG